RNAcentral lists this long non-coding RNA (334 nucleotides) under Malus domestica (apple). RNAcentral's name for it is "long non-coding RNA (MDOM_LNC013387)". The record is from RNAcentral. Lineage: Eukaryota; Viridiplantae; Streptophyta; Magnoliopsida; Rosales; Rosaceae.
GCUAGGGGGCAUGAAUGAUUGUGUACAUUGCAUAGAGAUGGAAAGGGAGGUGAAAAUGUGUCAAUAAAUGGAUCAAAGGUGCAGCAACAUGUGGUACACAAGGCAUGGGAUUCCAAAUGUGAAUGAUGGAGCAUCAAUUGGUGCAUGUAAUGGAUGUAAAUGUUGUCUUAAAUCUAAUGAGUGAAGGGAACAAGAGGUAUCAAGCAAUUGAGUGUAAUAAUUAAAUGAAUUGAAGCAUGAAAUUAGAAAUUAUGUAGGGAACAAGAGUGAUCAAGCAUGGCAUGGAAUCCAAAGGGAAUUCUAUGUGGUUUGCAUGGCAAGGAAUGCAAGUUGG